Molecule: ribosomal RNA, 423 nt
Filed under: uncultured bacterium
Lineage: Bacteria
Description: partial 16S ribosomal RNA
Rfam family: Bacterial small subunit ribosomal RNA
Source: RNAcentral
AAUUUUGGACAAUGGGGGAAACCCUGAUCCAGCCAUCCCGCGUGUAUGAUGAAGGCCUUCGGGUUGUAAAGUACUUUUGGCAGAGAAGAAAAGGUACCUCCUAAUACGAGAUACUGCUGACGGUAUCUGCAGAACAAGCACCGGCUAACUACGUGCCAGCAGCCGCGGUAAUACGUAGGGUGCAAGCGUUAAUCGGAAUUACUUGGCGUAAAGGGUGGGUCGGCGGUUCGGAAAGAAAGAUGAUAAAACCCAUGGCUCAACCUUGGAACUGCAUUUUUAACUGCCGAGCUAGAGUAUGUCGGAGGGGGGUAGAAUUCCACGUGUAGCAGUGAAAUGCGUAGAUAUGUGAAGGAAUACCGAUGGCGAAGGCAGCCCCCUGGGAUAAUACUGACGCUCAGACACGAAAGCGUGGGGAGCAAACAG